This 78-nucleotide transfer RNA is filed under the name Thermofilum sp. RNAcentral describes it as "tRNA-Arg". It matches the Rfam family "tRNA". From Rfam's summary of the family: Transfer RNA (tRNA) molecules are approximately 80 nucleotides in length. Their secondary structure includes four short double-helical elements and three loops (D, anti-codon, and T loops). Further hydrogen bonds mediate the characteristic L-shaped molecular structure. tRNAs have two regions of fundamental functional importance: the anti-codon, which is responsible for specific mRNA codon recognition, and the 3' end, to which the tRNAs corresponding amino acid is attached (by aminoacyl-tRNA synthetases). tRNAs cope with the degeneracy of the genetic code in two manners: having more than one tRNA (with a specific anti-codon) for a particular amino acid; and 'wobble' base-pairing, i.e. permitting non-standard base-pairing at the 3rd anti-codon position. RNAcentral also lists the same sequence under 1 other name. Lineage: Archaea; Thermoproteati; Thermoproteota; Thermoprotei; Thermofilales; Thermofilaceae. The record is from RNAcentral.
GGGCCCGUGGCCAAGCCAGGAUAUGGCGGCGGCCUUCGGAGCCGCAGGUCCCGGGUUCGAAUCCCGGCGGGCCCGCCA